RNAcentral lists this ribosomal RNA (528 nucleotides) under Triticum aestivum (bread wheat). RNAcentral's name for it is "partial small subunit ribosomal RNA". Lineage: Eukaryota; Viridiplantae; Streptophyta; Magnoliopsida; Poales; Poaceae. The record is from RNAcentral.
AUGAGGCCACGACCAAGCUGGAGUCUCCUCUCCUCCCUCUGCGUCGUGCCUCCCGAGCAGCGCCUGGUGGCCCUUUCCUCCCGCUGGGACCAGGAGCGCCGCCACCAGCUCUCCGCCUCGUCCCGCUUGUCCGCUGCUACCGUGAGUACCCAGCGCCGCCUGCUAUUGCCGUUCUGCUCGGGAACGAGCGAGCGAGCCUGGCGCACCUGCAGCGCCUCCAUGGAUCGCUUGCCCGGCGUGUGGGCUGUGCCCUUCCCCCUGUACAAGAAACCGCCGCGCCCUUGUUUUUUUGCUUUGACUUCCUGCCCGAGUUUCGUUUCCGUCAUGAACGUGGGGCAGCAGCUGAACCUCGUCAUGUUUCUGUCCAACACCGCAAGUCCGACUCCAAGACCACCUCAAGUUCGGCUACAUGUAACACUGUGUACGACUACAUAUCCGGGAUGCAUCAAGUACCCCACCGCCAAGACCGAGACCGCCCCGAACCACGUUGUCUCGCCGGAUCAUCAAGACCAUCUCGGUUUAUGCUAG